AUUAUUAAGUAACGCUGGGGGUCCACCUUGGGAAAUCCCUGGUUUGUGACUCUCUGGAGCAGUCUCCGCGCGACGGCCAGGAGAGCUAGAAUGCCCCUCUUUCUAAAUCAUGGGGCCUGGGGCAUGGCCGUUCUUGCGGGGGGGGGCGGGUGUGUCCUGACUUAAGUAAGGGUGCACUCUCUUGUUUUUAUAAAAAAAGGGGACAAGUUUGAGGCCCGUUCACAGGGGGGAAGAAAUUGGCAAAUAAAAGGGGCAAAAAAAAAAAAAUCCCCCCCCCCCCCCAAAUAUUUUUUUUUAACCCCCCUAAACCGAAUGACCCCCCCCGCCGGGAAAUUUUAAAUUCCCCAGGCCGGCUUUUUAAAUUUUUUUUUUAAACCCCUGGAACCUUGCAAACCUUUUCCGGGGAAAAACCAAAAAGUUUUUUCGUUUUCCGGGGGAAAAGAAGGGUUGCCCAAAGCUGAAAACUUUAAGGGAAUUUGAGGGAAGGGGCCCCCCCCCAGGAGUUGGACCCCCUCGCUU
RNAcentral lists this ribosomal RNA (519 nucleotides) under uncultured eukaryote. RNAcentral's name for it is "partial 18S ribosomal RNA". The record is from RNAcentral.